Long non-coding RNA from Pipistrellus kuhlii (Kuhl's pipistrelle), 417 nucleotides. RefSeq lists it as uncharacterized. The transcript is spliced from 4 exons. NCBI's taxonomy places the organism in Eukaryota, Metazoa, Chordata, Mammalia, Chiroptera, Vespertilionidae. The record is from RefSeq and is a predicted model, not a curated record.
UCAACCUUGAGUGAUCACAGUUUUUGAGAAUCACGAUGAGGCAUUAAAGAGGAGGAGUGUCCCAAGGGAGAUGAGCUGGAGGCAAAGCAAGGAUGCCUGACUUGAAUGUGAGUUGUUGUCUACAACAUACAAGGAGAGCAAAGGAAGACUAGUAAGGAGCUCAUUCCCAAGGUCAUGACCAUAGGAAGGACCCCAGGCAUCUAGCUUGUUUCCUGAAAAACAAAAUCAAGUAAAUCACAGGCUCACAGAAGAUCACAGUCAUCUGAGGAGAUCUACCACAGAGAGUGAAAAUGUGUUCAGUGUCCUGAUGUUGAGCACCAGUAUUUAGAGGGGGUGACUUACCUCUGCUCUCCUGGAACUGCUGAUUUCAUAGUAAAGAUUUGGAGAGAGAGAGAGAGAGAGAAAGAGAGAGAGAGA